Molecule: ribosomal RNA, 551 nt
Filed under: uncultured Glomeromycotina
Lineage: Eukaryota; Fungi; Glomeromycota
Description: SSU rRNA
Rfam family: Eukaryotic small subunit ribosomal RNA
Source: RNAcentral
UUGGAGGGCAAGUCUGGUGCCAGCAGCCGCGGUAAUUCCAGCUCCAAUAGCGUAUAUUAAAGUUGUUGCAGUUAAAAAGCUCGUAGUUGAAUUUCGGAAUUUGUCGGUUGGUCGAGCUUCACUGUCCGCACUGACCUGAUGAAUUUCUACCUUCUGAAUAACCAGCAUGCUAUUUAGUUAGUGCGUUGGGGAAGCAGAGCUAUUACCUUGAAAAAAUUAGAGUGCUUAAAGCAGGCUUAUGCUUGAAUAGAUUAGCAUGGAAUAAUAAAAUAGGACGGCAUGGUUCUAUUUUGUUGGUUUCUAGGAUCACCGUAAUGAUUAAUAGGGAUAGUUGGGGGCAUUAGUAUUCAAUUGUCAGAGGUGAAAUUCUUGGAUUUAUUGAAGACUAACUUCUGCGAAAGCAUUUGCCAAGGAUGUUUUCAUUAAUCAAGAACGAAAGUUAGGGGAUCGAAGACGAUCAGAUACCGUCGUAGUCUUAACCAUAAACUAUGCCGACUAGGGAUCGGACGAUGUUAAUUUUUUAAUGACUCGUUCGGCGCCUUACGGGAAAC